This 468-nucleotide ribosomal RNA is filed under the name uncultured bacterium. RNAcentral describes it as "partial 16S ribosomal RNA". It matches the Rfam family "Bacterial small subunit ribosomal RNA", at positions 28 to 507 of the family's 1533-position model. The record is from RNAcentral.
AACGAACGCUGGCGGCGUGCUUAACACAUGCAAGUCGAACGGAAAGGCCCUGCUUUUGUGGGGUGCUCGAGUGGCGAACGGGUGAGUAACACGUGAGUAACCUGCCCUUGACUUUGGGAUAACUUCAGGAAACUGGGGCUAAUACCGGAUAGGAGCUCCUGCUGCAUGGUGGGGGUUGGAAAGUUUCGGCGGCUGGGGAUGGACUCGCGGCUUAUCAGCUUGUUGGUGGGGUAGUGGCUUACCAAGGCUUUGACGGGUAGCCGGCCUGAGAGGGUGACCGGCCACAUUGGGACUGAGAUACGGCCCAGACUCCUACGGGAGGCAGCAGUGGGGAAUAUUGCACAAUGGGCGGAAGCCUGAUGCAGCAACGCCGCGUGCGGGAUGACGGCCUUCGGGUUGUAAACCGCUUUCGCCUGUGACGAAGCGUGAGUGACGGUAAUGGGUAAAGAAGCACCGGCUAACUACGUG